RNAcentral lists this non-coding RNA (29 nucleotides) under Macaca fascicularis (crab-eating macaque). The record is from RNAcentral. Lineage: Eukaryota; Metazoa; Chordata; Mammalia; Primates; Cercopithecidae. RNAcentral also lists the same sequence under 1 other name.
UGCACAGGUGUAUAUGACUCCAUUCUGCA